GCCUUGGUAGCGCAGCUAACGCGUGAAGUUGACCGCCUGGGGAGUACGGUCGCAAGAUUAAAACUCAAAGGAAUUGACGGGGACCCGCACAAGCGGUGGAUGAUGUGGAUUAAUUCGAUGCAACGCGAAAAACCUUACCUACCCUUGACAUGUCUGGAAUGCCGAAGAGAUUUGGCAGUGCUCGCAAGAGAACCGGAACACAGGUGCUGCAUGGCUGUCGUCAGCUCGUGUCGUGAGAUGUUGGGUUAAGUCCCGCAACGAGCGCAACCCUUGUCAUUAGUUGCUACGAAAGGGCACUCUAAUGAGACUGCCGGUGACAAACCGGAGGAAGGUGGGGAUGACGUCAAGUCCUCAUGGCCCUUAUGGGUAGGGCUUCACACGUCAUACAAUGGUCGGGACAGAGGGUCGCCAACCCGCGAGGGGGAGCCAAUCCCAGAAACCCGAUCGUAGUCCGGAUCGCAGUCUGCAACUCGACUGCGUGAAGUCGGAAUCGCUAGUAAUCGCGGAUCAGCAUGUCGCGGUGAAUACGUUCCCGGGUCUUGUACACACCGCCCGUCACACCAUGGGAGUGGGUUUUACCAGAAGUAGUUAGCCUAACCGCAAGGGGGGCGAUUACCACGGUAGGAUUCAUGACUGGGGUGAAGUCGUAACAAGGUAGCCGUAUCGG
RNAcentral lists this ribosomal RNA (667 nucleotides) under Achromobacter xylosoxidans. RNAcentral's name for it is "bacterial SSU rRNA". It matches the Rfam family "Bacterial small subunit ribosomal RNA", at positions 837 to 1508 of the family's 1533-position model. Lineage: Bacteria; Pseudomonadati; Pseudomonadota; Betaproteobacteria; Burkholderiales; Alcaligenaceae. The record is from RNAcentral.